This is a long non-coding RNA of Mauremys reevesii (Reeves's turtle), 320 nucleotides long. RefSeq lists it as uncharacterized. Lineage: Eukaryota; Metazoa; Chordata; Testudines; Geoemydidae. The record is from RefSeq and is a predicted model, not a curated record. The transcript has 3 exons.
AGGAAAGCGCAAAGGUGAGGUGAACAGAGUGCUCAUUGUAGGUCUCAGAGGUGUGAUUUCUCAGAUCUCAGCAAGACAGUAACUGCUAAGAACCAGGAAGUGUCUGGGGAGCUACAGGUCAGAUGAUGAAGAGGAAGCAUUUUAAGAGACAGCGAAGCCAGCCUUCACCCAAUGCAGGAAGACAAGAAAAAUCAUCCUUCUCAAAAUUGUCAUGUAAAGUUAAGACUGUUUUUAGAACUGAGAUCCUCUUAAAUAAAGAACUGGAGCAUUAGGACUUUUCGAAAAGAGAAUUUCAUUUACUUUCAAACUAAUAAAAGUAA